Molecule: long non-coding RNA, 1444 nt
Organism: Elaeis guineensis (African oil palm)
Lineage: Eukaryota; Viridiplantae; Streptophyta; Magnoliopsida; Arecales; Arecaceae
Source: RefSeq, a predicted model, not a curated record
GCCCGGCAAGCUCCUCCUUCCAAUCGUUGACGGUGAUGGUGAGCCCCAGCAGGCCUUUUUCUCUUGUACUCACUCGAGCAGGGAUGCAUCGCAGUCCUGAAACACUAUAUUUAUUGAGCAGGAUUUACAUGAUGACACAAAGAUAUGGGAUGAAGUCUAUCUGUGAACCUUUGACUUAUGGAUGGAUGCACAAAUGCAGUGUAAGAAUGCUAAACAUUGAUUUUAUCUGUGAAUGUGAUGUGGCUCGGUAAAUAUUUCUGUAAUGGUGGAUGACCAAUUCAUGCAAGAAGAUAGCCAUGCUCUUACAUGGAUGAUUUGGUGAUAUGAUGCCAUGACGCCAGUACUCUGAAUAUAAAGCAACAGACUGUUCAGUUCUUACUUCCGCUGCACAAAGAAGACAUAAAAGUGAACUCUAAGGAGAGAAGCGGCCACCCCAUGGAUAAAGAUUUGCAUUGUCCUUGGUUGGUACCUGGAAUGUCUCCCCAGAAAUGGUUGUACCAGAGAAAGCUAGUGAAAGCGAGAAGAAGAGUGGCACUGUCGCUAUUGCACAGAGAAAGAAAGCCAGAGCUCCGAACGGUACCCUAAGUGAAUGGUUGCUUCACAUGUAUACACAUAGGUUCAAGACAUCUGGUAGAUGGGCUGGAUGUUCUCCUUCUUGAGAUGGUCAAAGCUCACUUUCCUCUAUUAUUUAUUUUUUGUAUCGAGGGGGAAGCUUACUGGAAUUUGUUCCACCUACUCUGGUACUGGGAGCAGGUCACAAAGCCAUAAUAUUAAAAGCAACGAUUCGGUAUCUUUCUUUUCCCACCAACACUCUAGCCUUGUAUGGGGUCGGAUGGUCAUGCUAAUUGUAUGAAGGUUUCCAAAAUCUCUGCUGCUCUGUUGGCCGUUCAUGUGAGAGACAGCACAUGUCAGAGGUGAAGAAAGAAAGAGUCAAAUGGUUGAAGGACGGGAACAAGAUUAAUUGUGGUCGCCUUACAUGGACUGGAGCAUAUAGAAGGAAAGCUCUCUCAAAGACACUUCCACUCAGAAAAAAACAAUAGGGAAGAAGAAAAGGAAUUAUUUGGAUUGGUGUGUACAAGAGAACAAGAUUAAAUUAGACUGAUCCGACAAAACGUAAUUUUGAUGAGCUGCAUGUGUGAUCGCACAGGUAGUUGAGAUAUUAUUCUAAAUAUUUGAAGCAUUUUUAACUGGUUGCCAAAACAAUUCAUGCAUCACGAAUAUGAGGCUGGCAAACUAUUAUUUUCACUCCAUCUCGAGCUAAUUUUUAUGUAUUUCCAGAGUAUGCUAAAUGUAUACAGAGCUGGAAAUGUGGCGGCUUGGAGCUUCACGGGUGCACCCUCCUUGUUUUGGGUUGUGUAAUUGAAUAGCUGGGAUGCUGUAGAAGUUCCACCGUUGUAUGAAUAUACAUGUGCUCACAUUUUUUAAUUGCCGUAACAUGUUUCUG